Rhizobium leguminosarum bv. viciae is the source of this 69-nucleotide non-coding RNA. The record is from Rfam. Lineage: Bacteria; Pseudomonadati; Pseudomonadota; Alphaproteobacteria; Hyphomicrobiales; Rhizobiaceae.
AGUCAAGAGUCUUGGCGCCGCUUUUUGGUGAGCAGAAUUCUUUUGCCUAAACUGAGGUAAAGGCAAAUG